This 76-nucleotide transfer RNA is filed under the name Cutibacterium granulosum. RNAcentral describes it as "tRNA-Thr". The record is from RNAcentral. Lineage: Bacteria; Bacillati; Actinomycetota; Actinomycetes; Propionibacteriales; Propionibacteriaceae.
GAGGGUCGUGGGCAGGUGAGUCUCACCGACCUGGUGCGUCAGUCACUGCGCAUGCGUCCGGAUCGUGUGGUGCUCG